GAUGAACGCUGGCGGCGUGCCUAAUACAUGCAAGUCGAGCGAACAGAUAAGGAGCUUGCUCCUUUGACGUUAGCGGCGGACGGGUGAGUAACACGUGGGUAACCUACCUAUAAGACUGGGAUAACUUCGGGAAACCGGAGCUAAUACCGGAUAACAUUUGGAACCGCAUGGUUCUAAAGUGAAAGAUGGUUUUGCUAUCACUUAUAGAUGGACCCGCGCCGUAUUAGCUAGUUGGUAAGGUAACGGCUUACCAAGGCGACGAUACGUAGCCGACCUGAGAGGGUGAUCGGCCACACUGGAACUGAGACACGGUCCAGACUCCUACGGGAGGCAGCAGUAGGGAAUCUUCCGCAAUGGGCGAAAGCCUGACGGAGCAACGCCGCGUGAGUGAUGAAGGGUUUCGGCUCGUAAAACUCUGUUAUUAGGGAAGAACAAAUGUGUAAGUAACUGUGCACGUCUUGACGGUACCUAAGCAGAAAGCCACGGCUAACUACGUG
RNAcentral lists this ribosomal RNA (497 nucleotides) under uncultured bacterium. RNAcentral describes it as "partial 16S ribosomal RNA". It matches the Rfam family "Bacterial small subunit ribosomal RNA", at positions 28 to 507 of the family's 1533-position model. The record is from RNAcentral.